This 207-nucleotide ribosomal RNA is filed under the name uncultured bacterium. Its description in RNAcentral is "partial 16S ribosomal RNA". It matches the Rfam family "Bacterial small subunit ribosomal RNA", at positions 568 to 774 of the family's 1533-position model. The record is from RNAcentral.
UGUGUAGGCGGUUUUGUAAGUUCGGUGUGAAAUCUCCCGGCUCAACUGGGAGGGUGCGCCGGAAACUGCAGAGCUUGAGCGUGGGAGAGGGAAGCGGAAUUCCUGGUGUAGCGGUGAAAUGCGUAGAUAUCAGGAGGAACACCUGCGGUGUAGACGGCUUCCUGGACCACUGCUGACGCUGAGACACGAAAGCGUGGGGAGCAAACA